This 33-nucleotide ribosomal RNA is filed under the name Solanum lycopersicum (tomato). RNAcentral's name for it is "partial 18S ribosomal RNA". Lineage: Eukaryota; Viridiplantae; Streptophyta; Magnoliopsida; Solanales; Solanaceae. The record is from RNAcentral.
CCGUUCCGUAAGGUGACCUGCGGAACGAUCAUU